RNAcentral lists this long non-coding RNA (742 nucleotides) under Mus caroli (Ryukyu mouse). Its description in RNAcentral is "RIKEN cDNA 1700034B16 gene (MGP_CAROLIEiJ_G0005273.1)". The record is from RNAcentral. Lineage: Eukaryota; Metazoa; Chordata; Mammalia; Rodentia; Muridae.
AAGUAUCCAGUCAUAGAUGGCUCCGACUAGCAAGUGGGGAGGGUUUCCUGGUAGAACUAGGCUUUGAUGUGGUUAGUAGGCUUCCAGAACAGUCCAGGCCCACUCUGAUCUUUGUCUUUGAGAACCAAGGAAGCACUCUCAGCCUGCCCCAUAGACUAAGCCUGGUUGUUUGUGCUUCAAUCACGUAACUAGGCAUUGGGCUUGUGUCUUGCCAGCCUUCAGGAUUUUAGGGCUCUGAGAGCCUCUAGGAACAUGACAUCUUUUUCAUCUUGAUGCUCACUGUCUGAUUAGCACAGGUGUGGGGGACUGAGACUGGGUACCUGAACAGAUGCCUCUGUGACCCCUGUCCUACCUCUCUGGGCUCUUGGGUGGGGACUUCAAUAGGUUUGGGGAAGGUAGAGAGUUAAGGGAGUCACAGAAGUCACAGACCUGCAGGCAUCUUACAGACAAGGAAAUGGACGAGAUACAAUCAAUACUUGUCUGAGGUUACAGAUUUCACGAGCAGCAGAGUCUGGAUCUCUGCUCGGUGCAGUUGACUACUGAGCCCCAAGUCUUGCCACAGCUUCAGACACAGAGGAGCAGGGCACAGGAGACUCUGUUUGGUGUUUCCAGAAGCUAGCUAGCGCUGGGCUAGUCUGAACCUGGCGCCUGCACUUUCCUGCAUCACCCUUAGUUACUGGCUGGACCCAAUGCUGAAAUUUGACCUUGACUGUCAUCCCAUAUGACAGAGGCUACACUGUCA